CAGAAAAUAGUUUAGUUUAGAAUUCUGUUUGGGAGCCAGAGGUGGGAGUUAAAAUCUCUCUUUUCU
This 66-nucleotide transfer RNA is filed under the name Leptobotia rubrilabris. Its description in RNAcentral is "tRNA-Pro". It matches the Rfam family "tRNA". Rfam says of the family: Transfer RNA (tRNA) molecules are approximately 80 nucleotides in length. Their secondary structure includes four short double-helical elements and three loops (D, anti-codon, and T loops). Further hydrogen bonds mediate the characteristic L-shaped molecular structure. tRNAs have two regions of fundamental functional importance: the anti-codon, which is responsible for specific mRNA codon recognition, and the 3' end, to which the tRNAs corresponding amino acid is attached (by aminoacyl-tRNA synthetases). tRNAs cope with the degeneracy of the genetic code in two manners: having more than one tRNA (with a specific anti-codon) for a particular amino acid; and 'wobble' base-pairing, i.e. permitting non-standard base-pairing at the 3rd anti-codon position. The record is from RNAcentral. Lineage: Eukaryota; Metazoa; Chordata; Actinopteri; Cypriniformes; Botiidae.